RNAcentral lists this ribosomal RNA (434 nucleotides) under Ostrinia nubilalis (European corn borer). RNAcentral describes it as "12S ribosomal RNA". Lineage: Eukaryota; Metazoa; Arthropoda; Insecta; Lepidoptera; Crambidae. The record is from RNAcentral.
UAAAAAUUUAAAUUUAAAAUACUAAAAUAGUAUAUAAUUAUUUAUUGAAACUUAAAUAAUUUGGCGGUAUUUUAGUUCAUUUAGAGGAAUCUGUUUAUUAAUUGAUAAUCCACGAAUGAAUUUACUUAAUUUAAAAUUUUGUAUAUCGUUGUUAAAAAAAUAUUUUUAAAUGAAAAUAAUAUUUUAAUUUUAUAAUUAAAAAUUAAAUCAGAUCAAGAUGCAGAUUAUAAUUAAGAAUAUAAUGGAUUACAAUAAAUUUAUUUAAAUGGAUUUUUUUUUGUAAUAAAAAUGUGUUUGUGGAUUUAAAUGUAAUUUUAUUUAUUUUAAUAAAAUGAUUAUAUAUUAAAAUAUGUACAUAUUGCCCGUCGCUUUCAUAAAUAAAUUGGAAUAAGUCGUAACAAAGUAGAGGUACUGGAAAGUGUUUCUAGAAAUAA